AUUGAACGCUGGCGGCAGGCCUAACACAUGCAAGUCGAACGGUAACAGGAAGAAGCUUGCUUCUUUGCUGACGAGUGGCGGACGGGUGAGUAAUGUCUGGGAAACUGCCUGAUGGAGGGGGAUAACUACUGGAAACGGUAGCUAAUACCGCAUAACGUCGCAAGACCAAAAAGGGGGACCUUCGGGCCUCUUGCCAUCGGAUGUGCCCAGAUGGGAUUAGCUAGUAGGUGGGGUAACGGCUCACCUAGGCGACGAUCCCUAGCUGGUCUGAGAGGAUGACCAGCCACACUGGAACUGAGACACGGUCCAGACUCCUACGGGAGGCAGCAGUGGGGAAUAUUGCACAAUGGGCGCAAGCCUGAUGCAGCCAUGCCGCGUGUAUGAAGAGGGCCUUCGGGUUGUAAAGUACUUUCAGCGGGGAGGAAGGGAGUAAAGUUAAUACCUUGGCUCAUUGACGUUACCCGCAGAAGAAGCACCGGCUAACUCCGUG
RNAcentral lists this ribosomal RNA (490 nucleotides) under uncultured bacterium. RNAcentral describes it as "partial 16S ribosomal RNA". It matches the Rfam family "Bacterial small subunit ribosomal RNA", at positions 30 to 507 of the family's 1533-position model. The record is from RNAcentral.